This 2710-nucleotide long non-coding RNA is filed under the name Haliotis rufescens (red abalone). RNAcentral describes it as "uncharacterized LOC125377555, transcript variant X22". Lineage: Eukaryota; Metazoa; Mollusca; Gastropoda; Lepetellida; Haliotidae. The record is from RNAcentral.
UCUUAGACCUGCAUCAUUUCGGGCUUUCCUCCAAAAUUAAGCUGACACGCCACGAUAUAACUGGAAUACUGUUAAAAGCGGCGUUAAACCCAACUCACUCACUCACUCACUUGGAAGUCGGCCGGUGUAACAAGAAUUUUGCCCAGUCGGUGAUUGGGACUUCUCAUGUGCUAUUGUAUGAAACACAAAACAAACACUGUCAUAAUUGAAUUCGUUAAAACAAUGUGUUACCAUAGAGAUGAUAUUUUCCAGAAGCGAUUGGAAUUACUAAUGCUUGGAAUGAUUUAACAAUUUUUCCGGAUUUUUAGCGAUUGUUUCAUAAUAACACCCGGAUCACCACAACAUAUUCGGUAUCUAAUAGGGAUGGGUAUUGAAGGUUUAGAGUGCAUCACAAUAUUUUGCAAUGCACAAGGCCGUAUUGCGAUACGCAUCAAGAAAUAUCGUGUAAUUCUAAAUUUUGAAUUGAGAAAAAUCUGAAACAUCAAUGUAUGGAUGGAAAUUCACAAGCAGAACACAAAAGGAUGGUGGUACAACACAAUGUUUACACAUUAAAUAAACAUGCAGCCAUCUUGGGCCCUGGACACAGGCUUCGGGGCAGCGAAGGUAUUUGGCAAGUGUAUAACAUGAGACUCCUGAUAAAGGUCGCUAUUACAAAUCACCCGAUAUACUGACCAUGACCAAAAUAUAUUGUGAUACGUAUCCAGGAAAAAUAUGAACCUCAAUUUACCGAUACACCGGUAAUACCGCGCACCCUAAGUGUCCAAUAUCAUCUACAGUCAUUGCUACAGGUAGGAAUAUAAUCGAAUAAUGAUUAAAAUCGUGAAAUUUCAUAAGGUACAAAUUCGCUUUUUGGGGGUACGAGUCAUCCAGUUGAUUAGGUACGAGUUGUCCAACAUUUGUGUACGAGUCAUCCAGUUGAUUAGGUACGAGUUGUCCCACAUUUGUGUACGAGUCAUCCAGUUGAUUAGGUACGAGUUGUCCGACAUUUGUGUACGAGUCAUCCAGUUGAUUAGGUACGAGUUGUCCCACAUUUGUGUACGAGUCAUCCAGUUGAUUAGGUACGAGUUGUCCAACAUUUGUGUACGAGUCAUCCAGUUGAUUAGGUACGAGUUGUCCAACAUUUGUGUACGAGUCAUCCAGUUGAUUAGGUACGAGUUGUCCAACAUUUGUGUACGAGUCAUCCCGUUGAUUAGGUACGAGUGGGUACGAGUUGUCCAACAUUUGUGUACGAGUCAUCCAGUUGAUUAGGUACGAGUGGGUACGAGUUGUCCAACAUUUGUGUACGAGUCAUCCAGUUGAUUAGGUACGAGUUGUCCAACAUUUGUGUACGAGUCAUCCAGUUGAUUAGGUACAAGUGGGUACGAGUUGUCCAACAUUUGUGUACGAGUCAUCCAGUUGAUUAGGUACGAGUGGGUACGAGUUGUCCAACAUUUGUGUACGAGUCAUCCAGUUGAUUAGGUACAAGUGGGUACGAGUUGUCCAACAUUUGUGUACGAGUCAUCCAGUUGAUUAGGCACGAGUGGGUACGAGUUGUCCCACAUUUGUGUACGAGUCAUCCAGUUGAUUAGGUACGAGUUGUCCCACAUUUGUGUACGAGUCAUCCAGUUGAUUAGGUACGAGUUGUCCAACAUUUGUGUACGAGUCAUCCAGUUGAUUAGGUACGAGUUGUCCAACAUUUGUGUACGAGUCAUCCAGUUGAUUAGGUACGAGUGGGUACGAGUUGUCCAACAUUUGUGUACGAGUCAUCCAGUUGAUUAGGUACGAGUUGUCCAACAUUUGUGUACGAGUCAUCCAGUUGAUUAGGUACAAGUGGGUACGAGUUGUCCAACAUUUGUGUACGAGUCAUCCAGUUGAUUAGGUACGAGUGGGUACGAGUUGUCCAACAUUUGUGUACGAGUCAUCCAGUUGAUUAGGUACAAGUGGGUACGAGUUGUCCAACAUUUGUGUACGAGUCAUCCAGUUGAUUAGGUACAAGUGGGUACGAGUUGUCCAACAUUUGUGUACGAGUCAUCCAGUUGAUUAGGUACAAGUGGGUACGAGUUGUCCAACAUUUGUGUACGAGUCAUCCAGUUGAUUAGGUACAAGUGGGUACGAGUUGUCCAACAUUUGUGUACGAGUCAUCCAGUUGAUUAGGUACGAGUGGGUACGAGUUGUCCCACAUUUGUGUACGAGCCCGCCAAAAGAAAUAUGGGUACCGAUCUCCAUGGAUACGGAAUGACCACGUCCGCGUUAGAUCAUGUAAAUAUUGGGGGAAGACCAACAGUUCACGAAUGUGGUACGGAACGUGGUGACCGGACGUGUGUUUGAAUGUUAUAAUUAUGUGUUAAUGAUCCUUCAUUUAGAGUUGGGUAUUUUUUUAUUACAAUAUUACAUUUAUAUAUAUUAUAUUUUGUAUGUCAUAUACCGGACGUGUGUUGUAAUGUUAUAAUAAUGUGUUAAUGAUCCUUCAUUUAGAGUUGGGUAUUUUUUUUAUUACAAAAUUACAUUUAUGUAUAUUAUAUUUUGUGUGUCAUAUAUUUGUAUGCAGUAUGUGUUAUCAUAUCUCUGGCACGGACGACAAGUCUCUCAAUUGCUUGUUUGGAGUGAGUUUGCUCAUUUUUUAGAAGCCAUUUUAGUAUCAGAUUCAACUGGUAAAAAAAUGUUUUAAUCAACCUAUUGAUAUUAUCAACACUGUGAUGAGUAGUAUGUCAAUAAAACUGUGUUGUUGUCA